AAACUUUUAAGUGGUAUAUCCAUGUUAGUUGUGACUAUGCUACCACCAUCUCACUUUCUGACCACUAUCUACAGCCGGUGCCAUUUGCCUCCAGGCAGUCUUGUUAUAACCUAGGCAGAACUGAAGUUUAAGCCACAAAUUCAAGCACUGUGAUUCAGUGACUAGCCAAGGAGUGCUUUAGAGGGCAGGAUUUCUCCCAAGAUGGUUCAGUGAGUAGUCAUGAGAUCAGCUCACUCCCAGUAAUCACCUCCAAAUAGCAACAGCUGAUCCACAUAAGGUAAAAGAACAACAAUAAAGAGCAGAAAGGAAAGUAAUCUUCACACGGAAAAUGCCACGGGGAAAACAAAACAAAAAAGUAAAGAGACUGAAACAUGAGCAAGCACAAGAAAGGCCCUUCUACAAUGCAGAAAUACUACAGGGUAAACGAAUCUGAGGAGACAUCUCAAGAAGAAAGGAAUACUUUGUUAUUGCCCCCCAUAGCUGGUACACCAGAAAAGAGGAUGGAACAGGCACAAGAGCAGUUGAAAAUUCUAACAAAAGAAUUCAAAGAUGAAAUAAGGAGUGGAAUUAAAGUUCUUAAAGAAAAACUUGAAAAGAGAGCCAAUGUUUUAGAACAGAGACUGGAAAUUUUUAAUAAAAAGUUGCGCAUUCUGCAAAACAAAUUAGAAGAGAUGGAACUCCAAGAUGAAGAUAUGCAAUCUGAAA
Long non-coding RNA from Phascolarctos cinereus (koala), 705 nucleotides. RefSeq lists it as uncharacterized. The record is from RefSeq and is a predicted model, not a curated record. NCBI's taxonomy places the organism in Eukaryota, Metazoa, Chordata, Mammalia, Diprotodontia, Phascolarctidae.